AUGACCCACUCCUGCUGCUCUCCUUGCUGCCCUCUAUCCAACACCUGCUGCAGGAACACCUGCUGGAAACCAACCUGUGUGACCAGCUGCUGCAGCCCACCCUGCCCAGCUGCCUCCAACCAAUCUGCUGUAAAGCCACCUGCCUCCUUAAGUCAACUUGUGUGGUUGUCUGCUGCAGUACACCCUACUGCCAGUCCUGCUGU
Molecule: long non-coding RNA, 203 nt
Filed under: Mus musculus (house mouse)
Lineage: Eukaryota; Metazoa; Chordata; Mammalia; Rodentia; Muridae
Description: long non-coding RNA chr11:99897572-99897775
Source: RNAcentral